AGCUAGAAGUAUGUGCCACUGUCUUCUGAUGUACAGAUAAAUGUGGUAAUCUCUUUCAGUUGUCCAGAGUGAUUGGUCAAUAAGAUCAAGCCACUGUGCCAGGCUUAUCCCUUCAGUUCCUCCUCAGCUGGUCAGGCUUGGACAUGGGAUGGACUCGCUGAUCAGGAGAAGAGGCAUGACCCUGUAACACAAGCUAGCCAGAGGCUGGUGGUUAAAAGAGGAAACUAAUGCAAACUGCUUAUCAUUGACGGGCAGGGCACUGCAAUUUAUCAUCCUCCCAGAGUCAAAGCCCUUCUCAGUACAGACGAAUGGGCUGAAGUUUCAUAGCCAGGAUCCUUGGGACACAAGUGUUCAGAAGGAGGCUAUGGCAGAGUUGCUUUCUGAAGAAAGGCAGAAAUGCUGUACCAAACAGGAAUAUCCACUAUUAUAUUCCCAGCAAUCUGGUGGUCAUCAGUGCCUUGCUGAUAAACUGGAAAUCCUCACCUUCUUCUAUCCUCACCUCUCAAAUGACCCAUGA
RNAcentral lists this long non-coding RNA (517 nucleotides) under Zonotrichia albicollis (white-throated sparrow). RNAcentral describes it as "lncRNA (ENSZALG00000002921.1)". The record is from RNAcentral. Lineage: Eukaryota; Metazoa; Chordata; Aves; Passeriformes; Passerellidae.